CUGUCCCGGAUAUGACACAACAUCCUGCUGUGAUGUUGUGUGGCCUGCAGUGUCAGUCCGGGACAG
Molecule: non-coding RNA, 66 nt
Organism: Lasallia pustulata
Lineage: Eukaryota; Fungi; Ascomycota; Lecanoromycetes; Umbilicariales; Umbilicariaceae
Source: Rfam